Molecule: long non-coding RNA, 420 nt
Filed under: Mytilus galloprovincialis (Mediterranean mussel)
Lineage: Eukaryota; Metazoa; Mollusca; Bivalvia; Mytilida; Mytilidae
Source: RNAcentral
CUUGUAGAUCAUGCGGCCAUUAGUAAUGAACAUGAAGACCUUGCGGUCACCUUUUAGCGUCCGCUACUUGCAUCUUACUUGAUAAAAAAAUUGAAUUCAUAGGCUAGCAAUUUGAUGGACUUCAUUAAUACCAUACAUAUUGCAAAAGCAAAAGUAGAAUGGUAACAAUAUAUACAUCAAUUUCUAUAAGUUUACACAAGUUUCAGAAGGUAUUAUAACACACUGACUUUUUAAUCAAAUUCGGGACCUGCACGAGAAAUUAAGAGCACUGACACGAAACACGGAAAAUAAAUAAGGGGAAACACGAAGCACGUAAAUCGAGCCAAACACGAGAAACCGAGAAAUAAAACGUUAAAACACGAAAAUACGUGAAAUAAAAAGGCCGAAAACGUUGCACGAAAAUAACCCUUUACCACCCUC